ACCAAUGGUGCUAAAUACUAUACAUGCAAGCUGAACUCAGUAGCAUUGAUCCCAAUCUAGUUGCAUAGCUAUGUGAAUCCUUUUUCUAAAGUAAUAGGGGGAUUGAAAAGAACUUAUCAACAUAAGUACAAGAGACGGUAUCAACCAUGAAUGCUAGGGGUUGUUACAUGUGUCAAAUAUAGUAAAAAACUUAUAAUUGAUAUCACAGGAAUUUUGUGUUGUUUAAUGUGUCAAAGUUAUUAAAAGUAAUAUAUAAAGUAAGCUUAAUGGAAA
Molecule: unclassified non-coding RNA, 273 nt
Filed under: Hevea brasiliensis (rubber tree)
Lineage: Eukaryota; Viridiplantae; Streptophyta; Magnoliopsida; Malpighiales; Euphorbiaceae
Source: RNAcentral